Ooceraea biroi (clonal raider ant) is the source of this 2268-nucleotide long non-coding RNA. RefSeq lists it as uncharacterized. The record is from RefSeq and is a predicted model, not a curated record. Lineage: Eukaryota; Metazoa; Arthropoda; Insecta; Hymenoptera; Formicidae.
UGCCGCCACGACCGCGACGUUCCGUUUCCUUUGCCGGCGCGGCCUCGUUAUCGUCGGCCGACCGUCGCUAAAACGAUUGGUCGUGCGCGCUCGUCCAUGUACGCACGUAUACCCGGGGGGGUGUGCACCCCCGCAUGUACCUCCCGCGAGUCUCUCGUACAUAGAUAUGCCGCAUAUAGACGCGCGGUGUGCUCCCGCCAUAUUAAAUGAGAUUCGAGACCGCCGCCAGUUACUUUCACCUCGCGGAACGAAGAGUUAGUCCUGAGUGUUCCUCGUUUCCUCCUGUUCUAUCGCCUCGGCCAUUCAUGCGAAUGAGUUUAGUCGCGCGACGCUGGAUUAAGAGCUUUUUGCCCGCGACCGUAAUAAAUGCACGCUGUACGACGUAACUGUGUGCUCAGUUCGCACACUUUGCCGGGAGAUUAAUAUUGCUUGGGCGAUAUAAAAGCAUUCUCCUUUCUUUAACUUGCCAGUGGAUAGCUAUGUAUGUUUAGUAUCACAAGAUCAGGAACUUUCACUUGUAGUAUUUUGUAGUUAGCGAAAGAUAUGAGCUGGAUUUGAUUUUGAAGAUUUUGAUUUUGAAGAUCUCUUUUCAAUAGAAAUCUGUUUCACAACGCUGUGAUUUCUCUCUGAAUCGAGAAAUCGAUUCUACUUGAAGAUGGAAUAAUUUCUACUUUCAGAUACGGCGUUCGAUUUUCAGAACGAAAUUAAUUUUCAUGUUUAAUUAUCCAUGAUAGAAAUAGAUACAACUCUUUUAUCAAAUUUGACUUACAUUAGUAAUUAAUCAAAAGAUUUAAGUGAAAUAAUAAAAGUCGGAAUAAUUAUUUGUGUUCCAGAUUCAACUAGUCUUGCGAUCUCUGCAACAGUUUUGCAAUACUCAGUCCGGGCCAAGCAGGAUCGACUCGAAGAAGUGAAUAGUAGAAUGCGGCUGAUCCUGAAUCGCGGCUGAGUGAUAAGCAAACAGAUUUUCUAUGAUGGAUAUAUUCUCGUAAUAGUCAUUGCGAUUUAGUAGAUAGAAAUAGAUGCUUUUCUAUGUAGAUUUGUGCAUAUAUGCACGAAUUAUUGACAAUAAUGCAUAGUUUGUAAAUUCCGCUGAUUCACAAACGACAGCUAUUAUUUAAACUCUUGCAUUUGGAGAAGAAAGAAAUAUGUCUCAUAAAAAUUUCUUUUAUAAUUUCGAUCAUGAUUACGUUCAUACAUUUUUUAAGCGAUAUUUUUAUUUCAUCUAGACUUAUACUUCUGCUGUGUAGACGGAACUUUAAUAGAUUUACUAGGCGGAUAGAAGAGAAGCGUACAAGAAAAUGUUGUCUAUGAUAAACAUUUAAAACAGCCUGUUAGUAAAGCGCGCGUUUAAUUGCAAUACAAUAAUUUAUGAAAAUAAUGUAUAAUUAAUUGAACAUGUAAUGUUCUUCUGUAAUGCUCACAGAAUAUUAAUCUUUAUGUAAUGUUCACAGAAUAUUACAGAAGAAUAUUAUAUGUUCUAGCACUAGAUUGCGAGCGUUAGAAGUUGCAUCGCUAUCACUAUUAAUUCCCGUUCAGAAAUUAAUUGUAAUGCAAGCGAAUUAUGUCGCGGAUAAGUAGAGGCAUUAAUUAAUGUCUGAUGCGGUAUUGAUUUCUAUAAUGAUGCGUUUUAUUUACUCUCUUUUUCAAUAUACAUGUACAUAUUAUAUAUUGGAUUGUAUGAUAUAUUCCCGUUUUCUCUGCUUGGUAGCAUAAAUAAAUAAUUUUAUGAAAUUUAAAAAAUAGGACGAAUAUGUAUUACAACUCAAUAUAAAAUUGUGCUUGUAAUGUAACGUAAUGCAAGUUUUGUGAAUAUAAUAUGGAAAUUGCAAGAAGUGUUAUUUUUAAUUUGCUGAUAAGUUUAUAAAAUAUAGGAAUUUAUUAUUAAAUGCGUGCGAAAUGUAUUAUUAUUCUCAUACAGACUUGCGAAGCGAAUUCAUUAUUACUGCAUAUUGCGUAAAUCAUAAAAAUAUUAAAUUUCGAAAUAUCAAUAUAUCUAUACAUAAGUUUAAUUUUAUUAUUUGUUAUGUGUGUACGUCUUGUUACUUGUGUAAUCUGGUUUUUAUUUUACCGAUAUCAUGAUAUGAUAUUGUAUAAGAACGAAGUCAUUAAAAAUGCAUUUCAUAAUAUUUUUAUGUCUAAUUAUUUUAAUAUCUGUGCAGCAUCGCAUCAUACUUUAUUUUUCAUUAUUUGAACAUUUCUUUACGAAUGUUACUUUAUGUUUAUAUUAUAUAUUGUACUACUAAAUAAAAUAAAGUUUAAUAAAUACAC